RNAcentral lists this unclassified non-coding RNA (388 nucleotides) under Borreliella afzelii. Its description in RNAcentral is "partial contains 5S-23S ribosomal RNA intergenic spacer and 23S ribosomal RNA". The stretch from base 181 to 388 matches the Rfam family "Bacterial large subunit ribosomal RNA", at positions 1 to 215 of the family's 2925-position model. The record is from RNAcentral. Lineage: Bacteria; Pseudomonadati; Spirochaetota; Spirochaetia; Spirochaetales; Borreliaceae.
AGUUCGCGGGAGAGUAGGUUAUUGCCAGGGUUUUUAUUUUUUUUAAUGUUUAUGUUAUUUGAAUAAGCCAUUCAAAUAACAUAAAAAAGAAAAUAGAUAUUGACAUGGAUUAAACAAAGAUAUAUAUUAUUCUAUGUUGCAUAAACAAAUUGGCAAAGUAGAGAUGGAAGAUAAAAAUAUGGUCAAAGUAAUAAGAGUCUAUGGUGAAUGCCUAGGAGCUUUAAGGCGAAGAAGGUCGUGGUAAGCUGCGAAAAGCUUGGGGGAGAAGCAAACAUUUAUUGAUCCCAAGAUUACCGAAUGGAGUAAUCCAGCUAGCAAGAUGCUAGCUAUCUAUUAUCUAAAUAAUAGAGGCGAUACCAGGGGAAGUGAACCAUCUAAGUACCCUGAA